Long non-coding RNA from Dicentrarchus labrax (European seabass), 510 nucleotides. RefSeq lists it as uncharacterized. Lineage: Eukaryota; Metazoa; Chordata; Actinopteri; Moronidae. The record is from RefSeq and is a predicted model, not a curated record. The transcript is spliced from 2 exons.
CGCCCUCCCCCACUGUGUUUCACACAGUGAUGUCAUCGGUUGCCGCCGGCGCCGGGCGGGCCCUUGGCCAAUAGGACAAAGGCACUGUAGGGCGCAGCCUGUCCCUCUCGGGAUUUUCUUUCUUUCUUUUUACUCUCUCUCUCUUUUCCUUUCAUCAGGUGCUCUCUCGUCCGCCCUCUCGUUUUCUGCCCCUCUUUCUUUUUGACUUAUUCAACUCAGCCAGCGGGCGGCUGCAGAAGUUGAGGCUUUAGGUCUUUCACUGCUGAUGAAGAAUGAAGAUGAUUAGGCCGGCUGGGAGAAUAUUUCACGGCAGGAGAGGCUACAGCGAUUGUCCAAGUCCAGUAAAGGGAAGUGAUGGAUGGCCUUCCCACUACACUCUGGACUCGAGAGUUACUCUGUAUCUGCUGUCAGAGUCUGAAAACCCCACUUGUCAGGAGACAUUUCCCUUUAACAUGCUGAUCUUGCUCAAAUAAAUAAAUAACAUACCAGGGCUUUAUUUCUGCAUCUAAA